GUUACCUGUGAUUAAUUGACAUCUCUAAUAAUUUUGUAAUCAAAAUUUACUUUGAGUUGUGGUUUAAAUUGUCUACUGAAGUAUGAGUUUUAGUUUAUGAAGCUUGCUUUGAUAAGGCUGCUUAACAUUUGCUUUUUUAGUGAAUUUGUAGUGAGGAUUAAUUUGUAUGUAUGAGUAUAUUGAUAGCUAACAGCAUGCACUACAUGAACCUUACAGUGAGGACACAAUUUUCAAUAGUAAUCAACAUGGAAUAAAUAUCUAAUUUACAUUAUAGGGCAAUAUGAUAAGAAAAAGCAUUCAUAACAUGCUUUACUGUAAAUUAGUGGCAAACUGUCAAGAAUUUUCAGUACCCAAAUAACUUGUAAACAUAGGUGGAAUACCAAUGACAGUGUUUUGUGAACCACUAAUACAUACAUAUACCAUCAGAAGAGGUUCCAAUGUGAGCUUUAAACUAAUUUUUUUUUUUUUUUUACCAGAAAGAACAGGCCAAAACGACUGGCACAAAUGCCUACAGAUUUACAUAAAGAAAUAAAACCUGGAAGUUGUGCUUGCCAGCCCCAAAUCACACAUCUCAACUGUCCUUCAUUUAAUAAGGAUAGCUACGCUGGAGAAGAAGAACCCAACAUUUUGCAAUAAGCCGUGGUUGCCCGCACAGAUACCAUGGCAGCACGAGUAUGGAUCCAAAUCAUACCAUCGUGAUGGUGAUGUCUACCUCGUUGCGCCUAAUGGUGGAGAAUUUCAAGAGCAUUAGCAUAGCACUCCAGGAAGAGGAGGAGGAAUCAACUCUGUUUUGGGGUCCCAUGCUCAAGCUAUGCAGGCAUGCCCUUGCACUGAGCAAAAUGAAACCACAGCCAGAAUCUUAUUGACAGUGGAAGACAGUUCUGGCACUGAGAGACAAGCUCUGACUGGUGGGACUGCAUUGUGAUGCGGACAUGGGACAAUGAAUCAGCAAUCAGCAAUGGCUGCAAAACUUCCGAAUGCGCAAGGCCACUUUCUUUAAACUUUGUGAAUGGCUUUCCCCCUGCCCUGAAGGCCCAGAAUACCCGAAUGAGACCCGUUCUGAUUGUGGAAAACUGUGUGGCAAUUGCCCCAUGGAAGCUUGCAGUGCCAGAGAGCUACUGGUAAAUCGGGAAUCAGUUUGGAGUGGGGAAAUCUACAUUGGGGACUGUUAUUAGACAAGUAGCCAAGGUGAUUCAUACCAUUGUACUAUGGAGGGUUGUGACUCUGGGGGUGUGUCUAGACUACAUGUUUUUCUCAAAAAAAGUG
Non-coding RNA from Pelodiscus sinensis (Chinese soft-shelled turtle), 1266 nucleotides. Lineage: Eukaryota; Metazoa; Chordata; Testudines; Trionychidae. The record is from RefSeq and is a predicted model, not a curated record.